UCACAGCCAAGUAAGCUGACAAGGCUCCUGUUUUCACAGGGACUCAGUGUGCAGUUGGCAGCAAACAGCAGCCUCCUUGCUGGUGCGUACAGUCUGUUACUUGUACAGGUUGCCCUAAGGGACCUUGGAGACAGCC
Molecule: small nucleolar RNA, 136 nt
Organism: Oryctolagus cuniculus (rabbit)
Lineage: Eukaryota; Metazoa; Chordata; Mammalia; Lagomorpha; Leporidae
Gene: SNORA70
Rfam family: Small nucleolar RNA SNORA70
About the family: snoRNA U70 seems to be exclusive to mammals and is a member of the H/ACA class of snoRNA which contain H (ANANNA) and ACA box motifs. H/ACA box snoRNAs are involved in the conversion of uridines to pseudouridines (5-ribosyluracil) a constituent of structural RNAs (transfer, ribosomal, small nuclear, and small nucleolar).
Source: Ensembl